Molecule: long non-coding RNA, 2373 nt
Organism: Psammomys obesus (fat sand rat)
Lineage: Eukaryota; Metazoa; Chordata; Mammalia; Rodentia; Muridae
Exons: 6
Source: RefSeq, a predicted model, not a curated record
CAGCCCCUGUCAGCUUCAGAUAUGCGCUGAGAGCUCUACUUCCGCAUUCCUGGGAUGCGUGGCGGCCCAGAGUUCACCUUCUGCACCCGGAUUCAAUAACAUGUCAAAUCCCUUCAGUCUCACCCGGAGCUGAAACUCUCUCAACUCGCUCGCUGCCUCUGCACACAUGCCUUGCGCCUGUCCAAAUAUUGAAGCUGGGUUGAGUGCAGCCACGGAGUCUGGGCCAACUAGGCUCCACCUGCCAAGAACCAGCUCCACGGUGAGAGCCAAGAGUCCUUGAAUGUAGCCCCCAGGCUUGCAUGGAAGUGGCCUUCUCACUCAGCGAGGGUUUACAGCGUUGAAACUCUACUACCCUUCAGAGUGGCCUCCGAAGUUAGGAAUUCCUGGUUAACAUCUGCCCUGUGACCUCGCCCUGUCGCAACGACUCCAUUAAACUGAGUCAUUCAGUCCUGCGGACUCCCUGCAGAAGAUAAGGGCUGGCAUGGAAAACAGCAGCUCAAGCUCUGGGCUGACUGUGGGCUGUGGGUUUGAGCAAAUGGGUGCUUUGCAAUUGACCUCAAUGUUUAUUCUGGUUCUCAAAAGAUGGAGCUUGUAUGCUGGCGAUUUUCCGAGAAUCCAUUAGCCGGCUCCUGAGUCUGUGAUGGUAUUUCUUACGAGACCGUUUGCUAAGGGAGGAGUUUGAAGUAAGAGGUUCAAGAGACAUCAGGAGAAGGAGCCAGAGCAGGAAAUCUACAAAGUGCAAGUAUCUCUGGGAUGUACGCUGGAAGGAAGCCAAAUUAACUUAGAGGGCUUUCCAGUGAUUGGUGGGGUCCACAUUAGGGGAGCACUGAGGACUUUAUCAAAGGCCUCCUGACUAAUGUCAUCCCAGAGCAACCUCACAGAACCUUCCAGAAUGACAUCUACCCACAUUAAUUAUCAAGAUUUGAGAUUCUGAGCUGCCGACAUCGGGAGUACCCGGAUGGUUGAUUCGAUGUCAAAGAGUCCCUAAGCUGGCAGAGAUCAAAAUCUCUUCCUCCAAAUUAAAAGGCUUACUCUCUCACAGAAUUCACAAUGGCCUCUUAAUAGCACCGAAUUAAUCAACGAGCAUGCCUCCAAAUCACCUCCAAUGAUCAGCUUAAUGCUCGUAGUUACCCUCCAGAGCAUGGUCCUGUCUAGAGGAAGACACCUUCUCUAUCUCAUCAGCGGGUUCUGAACCAAUAGAGUAAGGUGAUACAAAGACAUUAGCCAUUCUUUUCAGUGAGAUGGUUCAUCUUGAAAGCAAUCCGGAGACUUGGAAGUACCAAGAAACAGCAAACUGUCCCCCCGUGUUCCCCCUGGAACAUAGCAAACAGCCACAAGUGGACACUGGCGGUGAUGUCUGAUGUCGCAUAGUUUUCAGUGGACAGAUAGAAUUGGUGUCAUUAAAAUUAUCAGGAAUGCCACUCUUACACCAUGACUGUUGGCAGCCCAAGCCUCAGGUCCCAGCUCUGACAGGCUCUUGUGCAUGGAUGCCCUCCUAAGUUAAGGGGCAGGCUCUCUGACUAAACCCUUCAGUUGUUCAACGUUCCAAAACUUGAACAGUGGGAGUAAUCAUACUUUCAUGGAACAGAUGGGGAAACUGAGGCUCCAAAACCCAUAGUUCCUACAGGCCAGUGGCAAGAUUCAAUCCCAAAAAGUGUGGCUCCCUUGCCCUUGAACAUGGCUCACUCAUUCUCUGCCUCCACCUACCCAAAGCCUUCCAUGCCUCACUUCCAGGUCAUCAUUCUUAAACACCUGCCACACCCCCCAGGCUGUGGGCUGAAUGAUGGUGUAAUAAGGAACUCAAAGGCUCCCAGAAAGAUGAGAAAAUAAUGUGAGCAGGCGAAGCAAAUACAUGCGUGGCUGGGUAGACUGAACCGUGCUGAGCAAGGAAGAGCCGCCAUCCCCAGAGAUGGUUCCAGAAGCAAUCAGAGAAGGCUUCUCGGAGGAGUUGCUGCCAGACAAAACCUAAAGGCCCUGGUUCAUGGCCACAGGAACGUGGCCAUGAAUAGCAAGCAUGCUUCGCACAGCUGCACUUGCCCUUGUGGCAGAGGCUGGUGGGCCUUCCAGAACCUCAGUCCAUCUGUUUUAUUGGGGAGGUGUCUCGGGGAUCUGGAAUCUUAUGGAAGCCCCCAAGCACGGGAGCAUGAGGGAGAUUAGCGGCAACCCCCCUGCAUCCCCUGGUGGUGCCGAGUCAGUUCUACUUCCCUGCUACGACCUUCAUUCUCUCCUUGUUGUUAUGCACACACUUGUUGUUUCUGCAAAAGAACAUUUGUACUCUCUUGGAAAACCUAAGGGCUGACACUGAAAAAAAAAAAAAAAUCAAAGCACGCGUUCCGUUUCCAGUCCCCUUCCACAGUCCUCAGGUGGAGGGUC